RNAcentral lists this ribosomal RNA (495 nucleotides) under uncultured bacterium. Its description in RNAcentral is "partial 16S ribosomal RNA". It matches the Rfam family "Bacterial small subunit ribosomal RNA", at positions 28 to 507 of the family's 1533-position model. The record is from RNAcentral.
GAUGAACGCUGGCGGCGUGCCUAAUACAUGCAAGUAGAACGCUGAAGGAGGAGUUUGCUCUUCUGGAUGAGUUGCGAACGGGUGAGUAACGCGUAGGUAACCUGCCUGGUAGCGGGGGAUAACUAUUGGAAACGAUAGCUAAUACCGCAUGACAACAGUUAUUGCAUGAUAACUGUCUAAAAGGGGCAACUGCUCCACUACCAGAUGGACCUGCGUUGUAUUAGCUAGUUGGUGAGGUAACGGCUCACCAAGGCGACGAUACAUAGCCGACCUGGGAGGGGGGUCGGCCAAACUGGGAAUGGAGAAACGCCCAAGCUCCUAAGGGGAGCAGCAAUAGGGGAACUUCGGCAAUGGGCGGAAGUCUGGACGAACAACGCCGCGUGAGUGGAGGAAGUUUUCCGGUCGGAAAACUCUGUUGUAAGGGGAGGACGAGUGUGAGAGUGAAAAGUUCACACUGUGACGGUAUCUUAACAGAAAGCGACGGCUAACUACGUG